CAGUAGCCACGGUAAUACAGAGGGUGCAAGCGUUAAUCGGAUUUACUGGGCGUAAAGGGCGCGUAGGUGGUUAUUUAAGUGAGAUGUGAAAGCCCCGGGCUUAACCUGGGAACUGCAUCUUAUACUGGGUAACUGGAGUGCAGUAGAGGGUAGUGGAAUUUCCGGUGUAGCGGUGAAAUGCGUAGAUAUCGGAAGGAACACCAGUGGCGAAGGCGGCUACCUGGACUGAGACUGACACUGAGGCGCGAGAGCGUGGGGAGCAAACAGGAUUAGAUACCCCAGUAGUCCCUGUCUCUUAUAC
This 301-nucleotide ribosomal RNA is filed under the name uncultured bacterium. RNAcentral's name for it is "partial 16S ribosomal RNA". It matches the Rfam family "Bacterial small subunit ribosomal RNA", at positions 509 to 807 of the family's 1533-position model. The record is from RNAcentral.